GACAGAGGGUGCAAACGUUGUUCGGAUUUACUGGGCGUAAAGCGCGUGUAGGCGGCUUGGCAAGUUGGAUGUGAAAUCCCACGGCUCAACCGUGGACGUGCAUCCAAAACUGCUUCGCUAGAGUCUCGGAGAGGAAGGUGGAAUGCUUGGUGUAGAGGUGAAAUUCGUAGAUAUCAAGCAGAACACCUGCGGCGAAGGCGGCCUUCUGGACGAUGACUGACGCUGAGACGCGAAAGCGUGGGGAGCAAACAGG
Molecule: ribosomal RNA, 253 nt
Filed under: uncultured bacterium
Lineage: Bacteria
Description: partial 16S ribosomal RNA
Rfam family: Bacterial small subunit ribosomal RNA
Source: RNAcentral